GACGAACGCUGGCGGCGUGCUUAACACAUGCAAGUCGAACGGUAAGGCCCUUCGGGGUACACGAGUGGCGAACGGGUGAGUAACACGUGGGUGCUCUGCCCUGCACUUCGGGAUAAGCCUGGGAAACUGGGUCUAAUACCGGAUAGGACUCCUGGCUUCAUGGUUGGGGGUGGAAGGCUUUUGCGGUGUGGGAUGGGCCCGCGGCCUAUCAGCUUGUUGGUGGGGUAAUGGCCUACCAAGGCGACGACGGGUAGCCGGACUGAGAGGGUGACCGGUCACACUGGGACUGAGAUACGGCCCAGACUCCUACGGGAGGCAGCAGUGGGGAAUAUUGCACAAUGGGCGCAAGCCUGAUGCAGCGACGCCGCGUGAGGGAUGACGGCCUCCGGGUUGUAAACCUCUUUCAGCUAUGACGAAGCGCAAGUGACGGUAGUAGCAGAAGAAGGACCGGCCAACUACGUGCCAGCAGCCGCAGUAA
Molecule: ribosomal RNA, 478 nt
Filed under: uncultured bacterium
Lineage: Bacteria
Description: partial 16S ribosomal RNA
Rfam family: Bacterial small subunit ribosomal RNA
Source: RNAcentral